ACGAAGGGGGCUAGCGUUGCUCGGAAUCACUGGGCGUAAAGGGUGCGUAGGCGGGUUUUUAAGUCAGAGGUGAAAUCCUGGAGCUCAACUCCAGAACUGCCUUUGAUACUGAGAAUCUUGAGUACGGGAGAGGUGAGUGGAACUGCGAGUGUAGAGGUGAAAUUCGUAGAUAUUCGCAAGAACACCAGUGGCGAAGGCGGCUCACUGGCCCGUUACUGACGCUGAGGCACGAAAGCGUGGGGAGCAAACAGG
This 252-nucleotide ribosomal RNA is filed under the name uncultured bacterium. Its description in RNAcentral is "partial 16S ribosomal RNA". It matches the Rfam family "Bacterial small subunit ribosomal RNA", at positions 525 to 776 of the family's 1533-position model. The record is from RNAcentral.